GAUGAACGCUGGCGGCGUGCCUAAUACAUGCAAGUCGAGCGAACAGACGAGGAGCUUGCUCCUCUGACGUUAGCGGCGGACGGGUGAGUAACACGUGGAUAACCUACCUAUAAGACUGGGAUAACUUCGGGAAACCGGAGCUAAUACCGGAUAAUAUAUUGAACCGCAUGGUUCAAUAGUGAAAGACGGUUUUGCUGUCACUUAUAGAUGGAUCCGCGCCGCAUUAGCUAGUUGGUAAGGUAACGGCUUACCAAGGCAACGAUGCGUAGCCGACCUGAGAGGGUGAUCGGCCACACUGGAACUGAGACACGGUCCAGACUCCUACGGGAGGCAGCAGUAGGGAAUCUUCCGCAAUGGGCGAAAGCCUGACGGAGCAACGCCGCGUGAGUGAUGAAGGUCUGCGGAUCGUAAAACUCUGUUAUUAGGGAAGAACAAAUAUGUAAGUAACUAUGCACGUCUUGACGGUACCUAAUCAGAAAGCCACGGCUAACUACG
This 495-nucleotide ribosomal RNA is filed under the name uncultured bacterium. RNAcentral's name for it is "partial 16S ribosomal RNA". It matches the Rfam family "Bacterial small subunit ribosomal RNA", at positions 28 to 505 of the family's 1533-position model. The record is from RNAcentral.